Ictidomys tridecemlineatus (thirteen-lined ground squirrel) is the source of this 237-nucleotide unclassified non-coding RNA. Its record names the gene 7SK. It matches the Rfam family "7SK RNA". Rfam says of the family: 7SK was discovered as an abundant small nuclear RNA in the mid-70s but a possible function has only recently been suggested. Two independent studies have found that 7SK RNA binds the CDK9/cyclin T complex (known as elongation factor P-TEFb). Lineage: Eukaryota; Metazoa; Chordata; Mammalia; Rodentia; Sciuridae. The record is from Ensembl.
GGAUGUGAGGGUUCUCUGGCUGGGACAUCUGUCACUCGAUUGAUUGCCAGGGAUGAUGUGAUUGAUCUAGCUAUUGAGGCUGGUGUUCCCUUCCCCCCCCUUACCAGUCCAUGUGCAUCCUUCCCAGAGCUGCGUGCUGUGUUCCUGGACAGAAGGCCUGCUCUCCAGUCAAGGUAACAGGAGUAACCCCCUCAAACCCUUGCCCCACAUCCACCCCUGACUCUGGAGUCUGGAAUU